GCCGGGUUUGCUCAAUCGGUAGAGCGUCAGACUCUUAAUCUGAAGGUUGCGGGUUCGACCCCCGCAUUCGGCU
This 73-nucleotide transfer RNA is filed under the name Coemansia sp. RSA 2673. RNAcentral's name for it is "tRNA-Lys". It matches the Rfam family "tRNA". Rfam says of the family: Transfer RNA (tRNA) molecules are approximately 80 nucleotides in length. Their secondary structure includes four short double-helical elements and three loops (D, anti-codon, and T loops). Further hydrogen bonds mediate the characteristic L-shaped molecular structure. tRNAs have two regions of fundamental functional importance: the anti-codon, which is responsible for specific mRNA codon recognition, and the 3' end, to which the tRNAs corresponding amino acid is attached (by aminoacyl-tRNA synthetases). tRNAs cope with the degeneracy of the genetic code in two manners: having more than one tRNA (with a specific anti-codon) for a particular amino acid; and 'wobble' base-pairing, i.e. permitting non-standard base-pairing at the 3rd anti-codon position. Lineage: Eukaryota; Fungi; Kickxellomycota; Kickxellomycetes; Kickxellales; Kickxellaceae. The record is from RNAcentral.